Molecule: ribosomal RNA, 430 nt
Filed under: uncultured bacterium
Lineage: Bacteria
Description: bacterial SSU rRNA
Rfam family: Archaeal small subunit ribosomal RNA
Source: RNAcentral
GCGAGAAAACUUUGCAAUGUGCGAAAGCACGACAAGGUUAAUCCGAGUGGUUUCUGCUAAAGAAACCUUUUGUCAGUCCUAGAAACACUAACGAAUAAGGGGUGGGCAAGUUCUGGUGUCAGCCGCCGCGGUAAAACCAGCACCUCAAGUGGUCAGGAUGAUUAUUGGGCCUAAAGCAUCCGUAGCUCGUUUUGUAAGUUUUCGGUUAAAUCCAUGCGCUUAACGUAUGGGCUGCCGGGAAUACUGCAUAACUAGGAAGUGGGAGAGGUAGACGGUACUCGGUAGGAAGGGGUAAAAUCCUUUGAUCUAUUGAUGACCACCUGUGGCGAAGGCGGUCUACCAGAACACGUUCGACGGUGAGGGAUGAAAGCUGGGGGAGCAAACCGGAUUAGAUACCCCCGUAGUCCCUGAGCGGGCUGGCAAGGCGCAU